RNAcentral lists this ribosomal RNA (433 nucleotides) under uncultured bacterium. RNAcentral describes it as "partial 16S ribosomal RNA". It matches the Rfam family "Bacterial small subunit ribosomal RNA", at positions 29 to 507 of the family's 1533-position model. The record is from RNAcentral.
AACGAACGCUGGCGGCAUGCCUAACACAUGCAAGUCGAACGAGACCUUCGGGUCUAGUGGCGCACGGGUGCGUAACGCGUGGGAACCUUCCCUUAUGUUCGGAAUAACUCUCCGAAAGGGGUGCUAAUACCGGAUAAUGUCUUCGGACCAAAGAUUUAUCGCCUUUGGAUGGGCCCGCGUUGGAUUAGCUAGUUGGUAGGGUAAAAGCCUACCAAGGCGACGAUCCAUAGCUGGUCUGAGAGGAUGAUCAGCCACACUGGGACUGAGACACGGCCCAGACUCCUACGGGAGGCAGCAGUGGGGAAUAUUGGACAAUGGGCGAAAGCCUGAUCCAGCAAUGCCGCGUGAGUGAUGAAGGCCUUAGGGUUGUAAAGCUCUUUUACCCGGGAUGAUAAUGACAGUACCGGGAGAAUAAGCUCCGGCUAACUCCGUG